This 460-nucleotide ribosomal RNA is filed under the name uncultured bacterium. Its description in RNAcentral is "partial 16S ribosomal RNA". It matches the Rfam family "Bacterial small subunit ribosomal RNA", at positions 338 to 795 of the family's 1533-position model. The record is from RNAcentral.
CCUACGGGUGGCUGCAGUGAGGAAUAUUGGUCAAUGGGCGCAAGCCUGAACCAGCCAAGUAGCGUGCGGGAUGACUGCCCUACGGGUCGUAAACUGCUUUUGUACAGGGAUAACAUGCUCCACUUGUGCCUUUUUGCAUGUACCUUGCGAAUAAGGGCCGGCUAAUUCCGUGCCAGCAGCCGCGGUAAUACGGAGGGCCCGAGCGUUAUCCGGAUUUAUUGGGGUUAAAGGGAGCGUAGGCGGGGUGUUAAGUCAGGUGUAAAAGUUGGCGGCUCAACCGGAAAAUUGCAAUUGAAACUGGAAGCCUUGAGUACAGUUGAGGCAGGCGGAAUUCGUGGUGUAGCGGUGAAAUGCAUAGAUAUCACGAAGAACCCCGAUUGCGAAGGCAGCCUGCUAAGGUGCGACUGACACUGAGGCUCGAAAGUGUGGGUAUCAAACAGGAUUAGAUACCCCUGUAGUC